UGGGGAAUAUUGCACAAUGGGCGCAAGCCUGAUGCAGCCAUGCCGCGUGUGUGAAGAAGGCCUUCGGGUUGUAAAGCACUUUCAGCGAGGAGGAAGGUGGUGGACUUAAUACGUUCAUCAAUUGACGUUACUCGCAGAAGAAGCACCGGCUAACUCCGUGCCAGCAGCCGCGGUANCGGAGGGUGCAAGCGUUAAUCGGAAUUACUGGGCGUAAAGCGCACGCAGGCGGUUUGUUAAGUCAGAUGUGAAAUCCCCGGGCUCAACCUGGGAACUGCAUUUGAAACUGGCAAGCUAGAGUCUCGUAGAGGGGGGUAGAAUUCAGGUGUAGCGGUGAAAUGCGUAGAGAUCUGGAGGAAUACCGGUGGCGAAGGCGGCCCCCUGGACGAAGACUGACGCUCAGGUGCGAAAGCGUGGGGAGCAAACAGGAUUAGAUACCCUGGUAGUCCACGCUGUAAACGAUGUCGAUUUGGAGGUUGUGCCCUUGAGGCGUGGCUUCCGGAGCUAACGCGUUAAAUCGACCGCCUGGGGAGUACGGCCGCAAGGUUAAAACUCAAAUGAAUUGACGGGGUCAUAGCU
This 576-nucleotide ribosomal RNA is filed under the name uncultured bacterium. Its description in RNAcentral is "partial 16S ribosomal RNA". It matches the Rfam family "Bacterial small subunit ribosomal RNA", at positions 355 to 926 of the family's 1533-position model. The record is from RNAcentral.